This 253-nucleotide ribosomal RNA is filed under the name uncultured bacterium. Its description in RNAcentral is "partial 16S ribosomal RNA". It matches the Rfam family "Bacterial small subunit ribosomal RNA", at positions 524 to 776 of the family's 1533-position model. The record is from RNAcentral.
UACGUAGGGCGCAAGCGUUGUCCGGAAUUAUUGGGCGUAAAGAGCUCGUAGGCGGUUUGUCGCGUCUGCUGUGAAAUCCCGAGGCUCAACCUCGGGCUUGCAGUGGGUACGGGCAGACUAGAGUGCGGUAGGGGAGACUGGAAUUCCUGGUGUAGCGGUGGAAUGCGCAGAUAUCAGGAGGAACACCGAUGGCGAAGGCAGAUCUCUGGGCCGUAACUGACGCUGAGGAGCGAAAGCAUGGGGAGCGAACAGG